This 433-nucleotide unclassified non-coding RNA is filed under the name soil metagenome. RNAcentral describes it as "partial contains 5.8S ribosomal RNA, internal transcribed spacer 2, and large subunit ribosomal RNA". The stretch from base 1 to 120 matches the Rfam family "5.8S ribosomal RNA", at positions 35 to 154 of the family's 154-position model. The record is from RNAcentral.
GAUGAAGAACGUAGCGAAAUGCGAUACGUAAUGUGAAUUGCAGAAUUCAGUGAAUCAUCGAAUCUUUGAACGCAUAUUGCGCUCUCUGGUAUUCCGGAGAGCAUGCUUGUUUGAGUAACAGUAAACACCUCAACUCCCCUUUCUUUUUUUGAAAUGGGAGCUGGACUUGAGUGAUCCCAACGCUUUUCUCACCGAAAAGUGGCGGGUUACUUGAAAUGCAGGUGCAGCUGGACUUUUCUCUGAGCUAAAAGCAUAUCUAUUUAGUCUGCCUAAAAAACAGAUUAUUACCUUUGCUGCAGCUAACAUAAAGGAGAUUAGUUCUUGUGCUGACUGAUGCAGGAUUCACAGAGACAGCUUCGGCUGGCCUUUGUAAACUCGAUCUCAAAUCAAGUAAGACUACCCGCUGAACUUAAGCAUAUCAAUAAGCGGAGGA